CCCUUCUCAGGGUCACACCUGGAGGGUUUCCAGUACUCUACUGGUCAUGACUAUGGGAGGGAGAGUCCAGCAGAAGCAUAUUCCUUCCAUUCCUAGCUUGGGCAGUGGCUAGCGAGUGGAAGGCCAUCUGCUACAAGU
This 138-nucleotide small nucleolar RNA is filed under the name Ornithorhynchus anatinus (platypus). Lineage: Eukaryota; Metazoa; Chordata; Mammalia; Monotremata; Ornithorhynchidae. The record is from RNAcentral.